UUCCCAUGAACUUCGGGUA
RNAcentral lists this non-coding RNA (19 nucleotides) under Rattus norvegicus (Norway rat). Lineage: Eukaryota; Metazoa; Chordata; Mammalia; Rodentia; Muridae. The record is from RNAcentral.